AACGAACGCUGGCGGCAUGCCUAACACAUGCAAGUCGAACGAGACCUUCGGGUCUAGUGGCGCACGGGUGCGUAACGCGUGGGAAUCUGCCCUUGGGUUCGGAAUAACAGUGAGAAAUUACUGCUAAUACCGGAUGAUGUCUUCGGACCAAAGAUUUAUCGCCCAGGGAUGAGCCCGCGUAGGAUUAGCUAGUUGGUGGGGUAAUGGCCUACCAAGGCGACGAUCCUUAGCUGGUAUGAGAGGAUGAUCAGCCACACUGGGACUGAGACACGGCCCAGACUCCUACGGGAGGCAGCAGUGGGGAAUAUAGGACAAUGGGCGCAAGCCUGAUCCAGCAAUGCCGCGUGAGUGAUGAAGGCCUUAGGGUUGUAAAGCUCUUUUACCCGGGAUGAUAAUGACAGUACCGGGAGAAUAAGCACCGGCUAACUCCGUG
Molecule: ribosomal RNA, 433 nt
Filed under: uncultured bacterium
Lineage: Bacteria
Description: partial 16S ribosomal RNA
Rfam family: Bacterial small subunit ribosomal RNA
Source: RNAcentral